UUAGUGGAUGUUUACGACGAAAUCACAACUGUAGUUGCUGGGCUUACAAAUCUUUGCCCACCACUGUCAAAAAGAGGCGAGGCUGCACCCACUGGCAUGGCAGAUCAGUUGGAGCUGGAUGGCCUGUGUUAACCUGUGUCCAAAAGUCAACAGCAAAGCAAACUGCAGCACUGUGACUGCAGACCCGCCCCAACCUGGAAAAAUGCAAAAAAAGAGGUUUUUGUGUUUCUUGGCUGCUUAAGGUGUCUUGUGAGUUCAUUCGAAGAAUGGGAGCAGAUACUGGACUGACAGCGGUACCGAAGAAAAAAAACAGAUUCAGUAGCCUUGCUGCUGCAUGACAAAAGUGAGAAGCAGCGUGCACUGCCAGCAUGCGGAAUCAAGGAGGAAGAGAAGCGGAGAAUGACGAGAAAAGUGGACGUCACCUUCAACCAGGGAAGAGGCGGGUUCCAGAAAUCGGUUUAACGAAACUUUGAAAUCAGUUGGAAGAGGCGAACUAGCGAGGACGUGAGCUGGAAAAAAGCACCCCUAGCUUCCUACUCGUCUAACCUGCUCCUCUGGCCAAUACUCCCUACAACAACGGCCUUAUCCUGUGCUACGGGGUCAACUUCAUGGUCCAUAUGACAGCAACAAGGAAUCAAGAACUCGUACACUCCACAGACUAUAAAAUUAAGACGUUGAGUUGGUGUAGUGCACGCUCAGUCAGUGACAAUUAAGAUGCCAAUGCAACUGUAAUGUAAUGUAUGGACUAACACCUAUUUAGUCUACCCAGAA
Long non-coding RNA from Dermacentor silvarum, 771 nucleotides. RefSeq lists it as uncharacterized. The record is from RefSeq and is a predicted model, not a curated record. NCBI's taxonomy places the organism in Eukaryota, Metazoa, Arthropoda, Arachnida, Ixodida, Ixodidae. The transcript has 3 exons.